GGUGCCUUCGGGAACUCGAACACAGGUGCUGCAUGGCUGUCGUCAGUCGGGCGUGAGAUGUUGGGUUAAGUCCCGCAACGAGCGCAACCCUUGUCCUUAGUUGCCAGCACGUAAUGGUGGGAACUCUAAGGAGACCGCCGGUGACAAACCGGAGGAAGGUGGGGAUGACUUCAAGUCAUCAUGGCCCUUACGGCCAGGGCUACACACGUACUACAAUGGUAGGGACAGAGGGCUGCAAGCCGGCGACGGUAAGCCAAUCCCAGAAACCCUAUCUCAGUCCGGAUUGGAGUCUGCAACUCGACUCCAUGAAGUCGGAAUCGCUAGUAAUCGCAAAUCAGCAUUGCUGCGGUGAAUACGUUCCCGGGUCUUGUACACACCGA
Molecule: ribosomal RNA, 380 nt
Filed under: Pseudomonas sp. GM40
Lineage: Bacteria; Pseudomonadati; Pseudomonadota; Gammaproteobacteria; Pseudomonadales; Pseudomonadaceae
Description: bacterial SSU rRNA
Rfam family: Bacterial small subunit ribosomal RNA
Source: RNAcentral